This 493-nucleotide ribosomal RNA is filed under the name uncultured bacterium. Its description in RNAcentral is "bacterial SSU rRNA". It matches the Rfam family "Bacterial small subunit ribosomal RNA", at positions 8 to 518 of the family's 1533-position model. The record is from RNAcentral.
AGGGUUCGAUUCUGGCUACAGGACGAACGCUGGCGGUGUGCCUCAUACAUGCAAGUCGAACGAUAAGGUCCUUCGGGAAUACAUAAGUGGCGGACGGGUGAGUACAACAUAGGAAAUCUGCCCUAAACUGGGGGACAACAGAGGGAAACUUCUGCUAAUACCCCAUACGAGCUUGGUUGAAAUACCAAUCUUGAAAGCUCCGGCGGUUUAGGAUGAGCCUGUGCCUGAUUAGCUGGUUGGUGGUGUAAUGGACUACCAAGGCGACGAUCAGUAGCUGGUUUGAGAGGAUGAUCAGCCACAAUGGGACUGAGACACGGCCCAUACUCCUACGGGAGGCAGCAGUAGGGAAUUUUGCGCAAUGGGGGGAAAAACCCCUGACGCAGCAACACCGCGUGAAUGUUAAGCCCUUCGGGGUGUAAAGUUCUGUCAGUAGGGAAGAAUAAAUGACUGUACCUACAAAGGAAGCACCGGCUAACUCCGUGCCAGCCGCCGC